UCAGUUUACAACUCCCAAACCCUAUGUGAACAACCUACUGUGCUUCGGCGGACUCGCCCCGGCGUCCGGACGGCCUCGCGCGCCCGCGGCCCGGACCCAGGCGGCCGCCGGAGACCUCUAAACUCUGUAUUAUCAGCAUUUUCUGAAUCCGCCCAAGGCAAAACAAAUGAAUCAAAACUUUCAACAACGGAUCUCUUGGUUCUGGCAUCGAUGAAGAACGCAGCGAAAUGCGAUAAGUAAUUGAAUUGCAGAAUUCAGUGAAUCAUCGAAUCUUGAACGCACAUUGCCCGCCAGCAUUCUGGCGGGCAUGCCUGUUCGAGCGUCAUUUCAACCCUCGACUUCCCUUUGGGAAAUCGGCGUUGGGGAACGGCAGCAUACGCCGGCCCCGAAAUGGAGUGGCGGCCCGUCCGCGGCACCUCUGCGUAGUAAUCCAACUCGCACCGGAACCCCGACGUGGCACGCCGUAAAACACCAAUUCGAAC
This is a ribosomal RNA of 482 nucleotides. The stretch from base 176 to 325 matches the Rfam family "5.8S ribosomal RNA".